This 239-nucleotide ribosomal RNA is filed under the name uncultured bacterium. Its description in RNAcentral is "partial 16S ribosomal RNA". It matches the Rfam family "Bacterial small subunit ribosomal RNA", at positions 95 to 334 of the family's 1533-position model. The record is from RNAcentral.
CCGGCAAACGGGUGCGGAACACGUACGCAACCUUCCUUUAACUGGAGAAUAGCCCCUCGAAAGAGGGAUUAAUACUCCGUAACAUCCCGAUAUGGCAUCAUAAUGGGAUUAUAGCUCCGGCGGUUAAAGAUGGGCGUGCGCCUGAUUAGGCAGUUGGCGGGGUAACGGCCCACCAAACCUACGAUCAGUAACUGGUGUGAGAGCACGACCAGUCACACGGGCACUGAGACACGGGCCCG